UGGUGCUUGCCCUGAUUGACGAUGGAUCACCAGUGAGUGGCGGACGGGUGAGUAACACGUAGGUAACCUGCCCCGGAGCGGGGGAUAACAUUUGGAAACAGAUGCUAAUACCGCAUAACAACAAAAGCCACAUGGCUUUUGUUUGAAAGAUGGCUUUGGCUAUCACUCUGGGAUGGACCUGCGGUGCAUUAGCUAGUUGGUAAGGUAACGGCUUACCAAGGCGAUGAUGCAUAGCCGAGUUGAGAGACUGAUCGGCCACAAUGGAACUGAGACACGGUCCACACUCCUACGGGAGGCAGCAGUAGGGGAUCUUCCACAAUGGGCGCAAGCCUGAUGGAGCAACACCGCGUGAGUGAAGAAGGGUUUCGGCUCGUAAAGCUCUGUUGUUGGAGAAGAACGUGCGUGAGAGUAACUGUUCACGCAGUGACGGUAUCCAACCAGAAAGUCACGGCUAACUACGUGCCAGCAGCCGCGGUAAUACGUAGGUGGCAAGCGUUAUCCGGAUUUAUUGGGCGUAAAGCGAGCGCAGGCGGUUGCUUAGGUCUGAUGUGAAAGCCUUCGGCUUAACCGAAGAAGUGCAUCGGAAACCGGGCGACUUGAGUGCAGAAGAGGACAGUGGAACUCCAUGUGUAGCGGUGGAAUGCGUAGAUAUAUGGAAGAACACCAGUGGCGAAGGCGGCUGUCUGGUCUGCAACUGACGCUGAGGCUCGAAAGCAUGGGUAGCCGAACAGGAUUAGAUACCCCUGGUAGUCCAUGCCGUAAACGAUGAGUGC
This 773-nucleotide ribosomal RNA is filed under the name uncultured bacterium. RNAcentral describes it as "bacterial SSU rRNA". It matches the Rfam family "Bacterial small subunit ribosomal RNA", at positions 49 to 816 of the family's 1533-position model. The record is from RNAcentral.